RNAcentral lists this ribosomal RNA (531 nucleotides) under uncultured Bacteroidota bacterium. RNAcentral describes it as "bacterial SSU rRNA". It matches the Rfam family "Bacterial small subunit ribosomal RNA", at positions 72 to 599 of the family's 1533-position model. The record is from RNAcentral. Lineage: Bacteria; Pseudomonadati; Bacteroidota.
GAUCUAGCUUGCUAGAUGCUGACGAGUGGCGCACGGGUGCGUAACGCGUAUACAAUCUACCUUUAACUGAGGGAUAGCCCAGAGAAAUUUGGAUUAAUACCUCAUAGUAUUAUAAUUAGGCAUCUUUUUAUAAUUAAAACUUCGGUGGUUAAAGAUGAGUAUGCGUACUAUUAGCUAGUUGGUAAGGUAAAAGCUUACCAAGGCAACGAUAGUUAGGGGGCCUGAAAGGGUGAUCCCCCACACUGGUACUGAGACACGGACCAGACUCCUACGGGAGGCAGCAGUGAGGAAUAUUGCACAAUGGAGGAAACUCUGAUGCAGCCAUGCCGCGUGCAGGAAGAAUGCCCUAUGGGUUGUAAACUGCUUUUAUACAAGAAGAAACCUCAGUACGUGUACUGACUUGACGGUAUUGUAUGAAUAAGCACCGGCUAACUCCGUGCCAGCAGCCGCGGUAAUACGGAGGGUGCAAGCGUUAUCCGGAUUUAUUAGGUUUAAAGGGUCCGCAGGCGGAAUAUUAAGUCAGUGGUGAAA